RNAcentral lists this long non-coding RNA (4699 nucleotides) under Salmo salar (Atlantic salmon). RNAcentral describes it as "lncRNA (ENSSSAG00000113720.1)". The record is from RNAcentral. Lineage: Eukaryota; Metazoa; Chordata; Actinopteri; Salmoniformes; Salmonidae.
CUGGGACCUAUACAUUAGGGAACACAGCGCCUAAAUGUUUUGCAAUAGAAAAGUUCAGAUGGUACCAGAGUGCAAUAGUUAGUUGUGUUUUUCCUCAUACUGCCCACAGCCCUGUGCUUUGUAGUAUGAUAUACAUGUUGUUCAGUGUAUAGAGCAUCCAACUAACUAGUGUCUGUGUAGUUUAGACGAGUUUAACUCUCUCGCUGUCUCUCUCUCUCUCUCGCUGUCUCUCUCUCUCUCGCUGUCUCUCUCGCUCUCUCUCUCUCGCUGUCUCGCUCGCUCUCUCUCUCUCUCUCUCUCUCUCUCUCUCUCUCUCGUUGUUCCUCUCGCUCUCUAUCUCUCUCUCUCUCUCUCUCGCUCUCUCUCUCUCUCUCGCUGUCUCUCUCUCUCUCUCUCAUUGUUCCUCUCCCUCUUUCUCUCGCUGUCUCUCUCUCUCUCUCUCGCUGUCUCUCUCUCUCUCUCUCUCUCUCUCUCUCUCUCUCUCUCUCUCGUUGUUCCUCUCGCUCUCUCUCUCUCUCUCUCUCUCUCUCUCGUUGUUCCUCUCGCUCUUUCUCUCGCAGUCUCUCUCGCUCUCUCUCUCGCUCUUGCUGUCUCUCUCACUCUCUCUCUCGCUGUCUCUCUCGCUCUCUUUCUCUCUCUCUCUCGUUGUUCCUCUCACUCUCUCUCUCGCAGUCUCUCUCGCUCUUGCUGUCUCUCCCUCUCUCGUUGUUCCUCUCUUGUAGCUGCGGGAGCUGUUCUACAAGCUGUGUUUUCCCAGGCGUUUCUUUAGAUAACAGCAAAAACAUCAUUUGUACAGAAGUCGCUAGCUAGUUAUGCUAAUGUUAGCUAGCUAGCUAACCAAAAUAAUGUUUACAAUGCCAUGGCUGAAUGCCUCUUGAUAGAACUCUAACUUCCCACAAUGAUUUUAAUCAGAACAGGACAUCCAUUACAUUUAGCCACCGUUUUUUGUUGUAGUUCUCAGAUUAAAAUAUUUAAGCAAAUGAUCCCAAUUCUAGUUGUAGCAGCUUGUGACCAGUUCAUGUUGAAGUAGCUUAGGCUAGCUCUAAUAGCUGAUAGCUGAACUCAGACCUGGCUGACCUGUUGUUAUUGUCUUAUGUGGAAUUCAUAACAUUGUUUGAUAGAUUUAAAUGCUCUUUGUUCUUUGUAUCCAUAGAGACAUUUUUUUUUUUUUUUACUGUAGUCAACCCUCCAAUCAGAAAUAGGGGGAACACUCAAUUGUUGGUCCCCAAAAAGUCCUCGCAAGUAUAGUAAGUAAUGUGUGUGUGUGUGUGUGUGUGUGUGUGUGUGUGUAACUUCAACAACAUUGAUAAGAGGGUGUAGACCUAUUUAAACUUUGGAAGCAUUUCAUUUUUGAUACAGAUUAUUUUGUGUUUCCGUCCUUGUUUCUCAUUUUAUUCAACUGUUACCAUGCACCUGCAAAAAAUAUAUAGCUCAGAUGUGCAAGUGCCUUUUUGAAUUUUGUGUUUCAGUCACUUACGGUCAAAGUAUGCCUGUAACACAAUGCACUGCUUUUUAAAUUGAAAAAAAUCUUUCUUAAGAGACAAAUUUGAGCAACAUUUUUUUUUAAAAAUUAAAAAGAAAGAGGCUUCAAUAUUUGCAGCCGUAGGUGAUAUCUCUCUAGAAGUUGAUCGUCUUCGGUUAAGGUAAGAUUAUAAUAGAGAAAGCUGCUCCGAGAGCAGCGCUGCUUUUCUUUCCAUCCUGUCAGUUACCUUUAGCGUCUAUUGAUGAAGGUAUCAUCUUCACGGUGACUUUUGUUACGAGCCCAGACGCUCGGUUUUUUUUUCUACAUACUUUCGUAUCGGCGAGAAAUUACUACAAACCUUAUUAGGAUUAGUGUUCCCUCACGGCCAUAUCUCCAUGUUACAACGGGUGUAUGGAAGACAGACGGAAGACCGAGGCUUCUACCUGUGCUAAUUAGCUAUCUAGCAUGCUCCGAACACCUGUGCUAAUUAGCUAUCUAGCAUGCUCCGAACACCUGUGCUAAUUAGCUAUCUAGCAUGCUCCGAACACCUGUGCUAAUUAGCUAUUUAGCAUGCUCCGAACACCUGUGCUAAUUAGCUUUCUAGCAUGCUCCGAACACCUGUGCUAAUUAACUAUCUAGCAUGCUCCGAAGAACCUGUGCUAAUUAACUAUCUAGCAUGCUCCGAACACCUGUGCUAAUUAGCUAUCUAGCAUGCUCCGAACACCUGUGCUAAUUAGCUAUCUAGCAUGCUCCGAACACCUGUGCUAAUUAGCUAUCUAGCAUGCUCCGAACACCUGUGCUAAUUAGCUAUCUAGCAUGCUCUGAACACCUGUGCUAAUUAGUUAUCUAGCAUGCUCCGAACACCUGUGCUAAUUAGUUAUCUAGCAUGCUCUGAACACCUGUGCUAAUUAGUUAUCUAGCAUGCUAUGAACACCUGUGCUAAUUAACUAUCUAGCAUGCUCUGAACACCUGUGCUAAUUAACUAUCUAGCAUGCUCCGAACACCUGUGCUAAUUAGCUAUCUAGCAUACUAUGAACACCUGUGUGUAGUAACCAAGGCCACGAGAAAUGUGUUGUCACUGAAAAAUACUGUCGGCAGCAACUGUGAAAGCUGGUUAAAACAGUUAAGUGUAUAUUUUGUAUUUGUGAAAUUAUUUUGAUGUGAUAUGAAAGUAAAGGACUUUGUUUCUAGAACUGUAUCGCAAUUGAGAAUCGAUUCACAUUUAGUCUCCAUGGCUGCCAGAGCCAGUCUCCAUGGCUGCCAGAGCCCGUCUCCAUGGCUGCCAGAACCCGUCUCCAUGGCUGCCAGAGCCCGUCUCCAUGGCUGCCAGGGAACGAUGCAUUGUUAAAACACUCGUCAGCCUAAGUUCCAGCAAUAUCGUGAAACUGGACCCUGGUUAUCUUCUAUCCUGUCCUCUCCAUACAGGCACCAACUAACCUGUCCAUACAGGCACCAACACAACUCUGCUCUAUCCACUGUGAGAAGAGAUUACAUCUACAGAGUGCAGACUGCUUCUCCUUUAGAGAAACAUACAAGUCUUUUAGACAUUUGGAGGAUGGAUUGUUUACUUUAGAUCAGUGUUUCCCAACUCCAGUCCUCCAGUACCCCCAACAGCCCAACUCCAGUCCUCCAGUACCCCCAAAAGCCCAACUCCAGUCCUCCAGUACCCCCAAAAGCCCAACUCCAGUCCUCCAGUACACCCAACAGCCCAACUCCAGUCCUUCAGUACACCCAACAGCCCAACUCCAGUCCUCCAGUACACCCAACAGCCCAACUCCAGUCCUCCAGUACCCCCCAACAGUGUUUCUCAACUCCAGUCCUCCAGUACCCCAACAGCCCAACUCCAGGCUGGAGUGCAGACUGGUACCCAGGCUGGAGUGCAGACUGGUACCCUGGCUGGAGUGCAGACUGGUACCCAGGCUAGAGUGCAAACUGGUACCCAGGCUGGAGUGCAGACUGGUACCCUGGCUGGAGUGCAGACUGGUACCCAGGCUAGAGUGCAAACUGGUACCCAGGCUGGAGUGCAGACUGGUACCCAGGCUGGAGUGCAGACUGGUACCCUGGCUGGAGUGCAGACUGGUACUCAGGCUGGAGUGCAGACUGGUACCCAGGCUGGAGUGCAGACUGGUACCCAGGCUGGAGUGCAGACUGGUACCCAGGCUGGAGUAAAACAAUACACACAUCUAUCUUGCUCUGUGUGUCCCAACAUGCUGCAUGACAGUAAAUCCUGUUCAGUUGAACAUUUCUACCAACGGUCAUUAUUUUAUAUGCAUUUAUUUCUAUUACUUUGACAGACUGUGUGCACACACGUGACACACACACACACGUGACACACACACACACGUGACACACACACACGUGACACACACACACACGUGACACACACACACACACGUGACACACACACACACACGUGACACACACACACACGUGACACACACACACGUGACACACACACACACACAUGACACGCACACACACAUGUGACACGCACUCACACAUGUGACAUACACACACACACGUGACACACACACACGUGACACACACACACACACACAUGACACGCACACACACAUGUGACACGCACUCACACAUGUGACAUACACACACACACGUGACAUACACACACGACACACACAGACACACUUGACAUACACACACACACACACACGACAUACACACACACACACACUUGACAUACACACACACACAUCACACACACACGUUACACACACAAAUAUGUGCACAAACUCCUGAUGACAGUUUGAUUUAUGAUUAUGACAGAAUGGAGUGUGAGGAAGUUGUGUGAAACUGCAAAGUUUUAUUUUUCUUGUUUUGUCUCUAAAUCAUUUGCCAAAAAGAAGCCUGGCCCUGAAAGUGGCCAUGGUUUCACACGUGACAUGACAUGUGAAAUCUUUUUGUUGCUGCCAAGAAGAUUACAGAGAAACAUAGCUGUAGUUAAGGGGGAAGACAUGCAGUUUCUAGAUACACUAUUUACUAUGGCCUCAUUGUCAUUCCUAUUUGUAGGUUUUGGAAGUUGCAAAAAUAAGACCCUGCGAGCAGAAAAUAACGGACGCUAUGAUGUUCUUUAUGAAUUGACAGUGAUACACUACCAUCUACGGCAAUAUCACAUUAUUGUAUUUGUUAAGACCCUUAGCGGCCAUGGUUACCAAUACCUUGGGAAUUAAAAUAAAAAAUAAUACAAUCAUUCUGUUUAUUAAGCUAUUAAAUUUUUUU